UGGAGAGGUGAGAGCCUGUAACCAGCGUGGUAGAAAUGAAGAUACUCCAAGAGACACCUAUGUCUCUUCAUCUCUCACACUAUUGAAACAAGGAACUCUAAUAAUCUGGGUAUUUCCCUGGGAAGCUUAUGCUGGGAGAAGGAAAAGGGGUCAGCUAGAGGGAGAGCCUGUCUUAGGAAAGAGACGCCACACAGUUCUAACACGUCACGGGAUGAGGUGGAAGUCCACACAGUGAAGGUGUAGUUACUAUUAAAGACUUAGUAAUUACAAGCCUGAGUCAGAACAGCCAAGCAGCCUGAAGGAAGAGUCCCAGCUUCUCCAAGGCAGAAGGGACCAAGACGAGAAGUAUGUAAUCUGCCUACCCAAAACUACCAACAAGAAGGAAGAGGUGGGAAGAUCUAUCAUUGCAAGGAAGAGGAGACCUAGACAGAGACAGUGUGAAGAACAGCAGCCAUGGAAGCAGAGACCCACCUCCAGAAGGAACUGGGUACAGAGGCCCACCCACCAGUGACCUGGGAGGCUACCAACCGGAAGGAAGAGGAAGGGAGGAUUCAGCUACCCAAGGACAGUGAGCUGCAGGACAGGAAGGCUAAGAAAGACGUGCUGUCUUCCAGGCCUAAGGAACAGUCAGCAAUAUCCAUGGAGUUGGAAAAUGAGCCAAUAACCAUGUUCCCCCCUCCCACCACUCUCUGCCAGGGUGUAUUCCCCCCUCCCACGGCACUCACGCCAAACUCUGUGUUUCCCCCUCCCACUGCGCUUGCUGGUCAGUAUGUGUUUCCCCCUCCCACUGUGCUCACAGCUCACUCUGUGUUUCCUCCUCCAAAUGCCUUGUUCUUUCAUUGUGGUUCCCUGUCCAAUGGAGUUUCUCUCUCAACCUCCAAUUCCUUCAGCUCCUUUAUUGGGGUUCACCUCUCAAGCCAUUCUUCUUGAGAAAGAGUUAUUUCAUCAGAUAUACUGGCUUGUGCCACAGCUACUGGGACACUACAUGACUUAAAAAAUAAAGCUGAACUCAACUACAGCAUUAUGUUCAGCAGUUAAGUCAAUCUCUGUUCAAUAAACUUUCUGGUUGA
Molecule: long non-coding RNA, 1070 nt
Organism: Mastomys coucha (southern multimammate mouse)
Lineage: Eukaryota; Metazoa; Chordata; Mammalia; Rodentia; Muridae
Exons: 2
Source: RefSeq, a predicted model, not a curated record